This 461-nucleotide ribosomal RNA is filed under the name uncultured bacterium. RNAcentral describes it as "partial 16S ribosomal RNA". It matches the Rfam family "Bacterial small subunit ribosomal RNA", at positions 338 to 795 of the family's 1533-position model. The record is from RNAcentral.
CCUACGGGGGGCAGCAGUGAGGAAUAUUGGUCAAUGGCCGGAAGGCUGAACCAGCCAAGUCGCGUGAGGGAAUAAGGCCCUAUGGGUCGUAAACCUCUUUUGUCAGGGAGCAAAGGCGUCCACGUGUGGACGAGAGGAGAGUACCUGAAGAAAAAGCAUCGGCUAACUACGUGCCAGCAGCCGCGGUAAUACGUAGGGGGCAAGCGUUAUCCGGAUUUACUGGGUGUAAAGGGAGCGUAGACGGCUGUGCAAGUCUGAAGUGAAAGCCCGUGGCUCAACCGCGGAACUGCUUUGGAAACUGUAUAGCUUGAGUACUGGAGAGGCAGGCGGAAUUCCUAGUGUAGCGGUGAAAUGCGUAGAUAUUAGGAGGAACACCAGUGGCGAAGGCGGCCUGCUGGACAGAAACUGACGUUGAGGCUCGAAAGCGUGGGGAGCAAACAGGAUUAGAUACCCGAGUAGUC